CCCUUAGAUGUUCUGGGCCGCACGCGCGCUACACUGAGCCCUUCAUCGAGUUUACAACCUUGGACGGUAGGUCUGGGUAAUCUUCUCAAAGGGGCUCGUGCUGGGGAUAGAUUAUUGUAAUUUUUAAUCUUCAACGAGGAAUUCCUAGUAAACGCAAGUCAACAGCUUGCAUUGAUUACGUCCCUGCCCUUUGUACACACCGCCCGUCGCUACUACCGAUUGAAUGGCUUAGUGAGCCCGAGGGACUGUUGCACCUAGAGGGUUUUCUCUCCAGGAGCAGCCGGGAACUCGGUCAAACUUGAUCAUUUAGAGGAAGUAAAAGUCGUAACA
Molecule: ribosomal RNA, 330 nt
Filed under: uncultured eukaryote
Lineage: Eukaryota
Description: partial 18S ribosomal RNA
Rfam family: Eukaryotic small subunit ribosomal RNA
Source: RNAcentral